GACGAACGCUGGCGGCGUGCCUAAUACAUGCAAGUUGAGCGCUGAAGGUUGGUACUUGUACCAACUGGAUGAGCAGCGAACGGGUGAGUAACGCGUGGGGAAUCCGCCUUUGAGCGGGGGACAACAUUUGGAAACGAAUGCUAAUACCGCAUAAAAACUUUAAACACAAGUUUUAAGUUUGAAAGAUGCAAUUGCAUCACUCAAAGAUGAUCCCGCGUUGUAUUAGCUAGUUGGUGAGGUAAAGGCUCACCAAGGCGAUGAUACAUAGCCGACCUGAGAGGGUGAUAGGCCACAUUGGGACUGAGACACGGCCCAAACUCCUACGGGAGGCAGCAGUAGGGAAUCUUCGGCAAUGGACGAAAGUCUGACCGAGCAACGCCGCGUGAGUGAAGAAGGUUUUCGGAUCGUAAAACUCUGUUGGUAGAGAAGAACGUUGGUGAGAGUGGAAAGCUCAUCAAGUGACGGUAACUACCCAGAAAGGGACGGCUAACUACGUG
Molecule: ribosomal RNA, 497 nt
Filed under: uncultured bacterium
Lineage: Bacteria
Description: partial 16S ribosomal RNA
Rfam family: Bacterial small subunit ribosomal RNA
Source: RNAcentral